Molecule: ribosomal RNA, 2171 nt
Filed under: Escherichia coli
Lineage: Bacteria; Pseudomonadati; Pseudomonadota; Gammaproteobacteria; Enterobacterales; Enterobacteriaceae
Description: bacterial LSU rRNA
Rfam family: Bacterial large subunit ribosomal RNA
Source: RNAcentral
GGGUUGUGAGGUUAAGCGACUAAGCGUACACGGUGGAUGCCCUGGCAGUCAGAGGCGAUGAAGGACGUGCUAAUCUGCGAUAAGCGUCGGUAAGGUGAUAUGAACCGUUAUAACCGGCGAUUUCCGAAUGGGGAAACCCAGUGUGAUUCGUCACACUAUCAUUAACUGAAUCCAUAGGUUAAUGAGGCGAACCGGGGGAACUGAAACAUCUAAGUACCCCGAGGAAAAGAAAUCAACCGAGAUUCCCCCAGUAGCGGCGAGCGAACGGGGAGCAGCCCAGAGCCUGAAUCAGUGUGUGUGUUAGUGGAAGCGUCUGGAAAGGCGCGCGAUACAGGGUGACAGCCCCGUACACAAAAAUGCACAUACUGUGAGCUCGAUGAGUAGGGCGGGACACGUGGUAUCCUGUCUGAAUAUGGGGGGACCAUCCUCCAAGGCUAAAUACUCCUGACUGACCGAUAGUGAACCAGUACCGUGAGGGAAAGGCGAAAAGAACCCCGGCGAGGGGAGUGAAAAAGAACCUGAAACCGUGUACGUACAAGCAGUGGGAGCACGCUUAGGCGUGUGACUGCGUACCUUUUGUAUAAUGGGUCAGCGACUUAUAUUCUGUAGCAAGGUUAACCGAAUAGGGGAGCCGAAGGGAAACCGAGUCUUAACUGGGCGUUAAGUUGCAGGGUAUAGACCCGAAACCCGGUGAUCUAGCCAUGGGCAGGUUGAAGGUUGGGUAACACUAACUGGAGGACCGAACCGACUAAUGUUGAAAAAUUAGCGGAUGACUUGUGGCUGGGGGUGAAAGGCCAAUCAAACCGGGAGAUAGCUGGUUCUCCCCGAAAGCUAUUUAGGUAGCGCCUCGUGAAUUCAUCUCCGGGGGUAGAGCACUGUUUCGGCAAGGGGGUCAUCCCGACUUACCAACCCGAUGCAAACUGCGAAUACCGGAGAAUGUUAUCACGGGAGACACACGGCGGGUGCUAACGUCCGUCGUGAAGAGGGAAACAACCCAGACCGCCAGCUAAGGUCCCAAAGUCAUGGUUAAGUGGGAAACGAUGUGGGAAGGCCCAGACAGCCAGGAUGUUGGCUUAGAAGCAGCCAUCAUUUAAAGAAAGCGUAAUAGCUCACUGGUCGAGUCGGCCUGCGCGGAAGAUGUAACGGGGCUAAACCAUGCACCGAAGCUGCGGCAGCGACACUUAUGUGUUGUUGGGUAGGGGAGCGUUCUGUAAGCCUGUGAAGGUGUACUGUGAGGUAUGCUGGAGGUAUCAGAAGUGCGAAUGCUGACAUAAGUAACGAUAAAGCGGGUGAAAAGCCCGCUCGCCGGAAGACCAAGGGUUCCUGUCCAACGUUAAUCGGGGCAGGGUGAGUCGACCCCUAAGGCGAGGCCGAAAGGCGUAGUCGAUGGGAAACAGGUUAAUAUUCCUGUACUUGGUGUUACUGCGAAGGGGGGACGGAGAAGGCUAUGUUGGCCGGGCGACGGUUGUCCCGGUUUAAGCGUGUAGGCUGGUUUUCCAGGCAAAUCCGGAAAAUCAAGGCUGAGGCGUGAUGACGAGGCACUACGGUGCUGAAGCAACAAAUGCCCUGCUUCCAGGAAAAGCCUCUAAGCAUCAGGUAACAUCAAAUCGUACCCCAAACCGACACAGGUGGUCAGGUAGAGAAUACCAAGGCGCUUGAGAGAACUCGGGUGAAGGAACUAGGCAAAAUGGUGCCGUAACUUCGGGAGAAGGCACGCUGAUAUGUAGGUGAAGUCCCUCGCGGAUGGAGCUGAAAUCAGUCGAAGAUACCAGCUGGCUGCAACUGUUUAUUAAAAACACAGCACUGUGCAAACACGAAAGUGGACGUAUACGGUGUGACGCCUGCCCGGUGCCGGAAGGUUAAUUGAUGGGGUCAGCGCAAGCGAAGCUCUUGAUCGAAGCCCCGGUAAACGGCGGCCGUAACUAUAACGGUCCUAAGGUAGCGAAAUUCCUUGUCGGGUAAGUUCCGACCUGCACGAAUGGCGUAAUGAUGGCCAGGCUGUCUCCACCCGAGACUCAGUGAAAUUGAACUCGCUGUGAAGAUGCAGUGUACCCGCGGCAAGACGGAAAGACCCCGUGAACCUUUACUAUAGCUUGACACUGAACAUUGAGCCUUGAUGUGUAGGAUAGGUGGGAGGCUUUGAAGUGUGGACGCCAGUCUGCAUGGAGCCG